Molecule: ribosomal RNA, 492 nt
Filed under: uncultured bacterium
Lineage: Bacteria
Description: partial 16S ribosomal RNA
Rfam family: Bacterial small subunit ribosomal RNA
Source: RNAcentral
AGUGAACGCUGGCGGUAGGCCUAACACAUGCAAGUCGAACGGCAGCACAGUAAGAGCUUGCUCUUACGGGUGGCGAGUGGCGGACGGGUGAGGAAUACAUCGGAAUCUACUUUUUCGUGGGGGAUAACGUAGGGAAACUUACGCUAAUACCGCAUACGACCUACGGGUGAAAGCAGGGGAUCUUCGGACCUUGCGCGAUUGAAUGAGCCGAUGUCGGAUUAGCUAGUUGGCGGGGUAAAGGCCCACCAAGGCGACGAUCCGUAGCUGGUCUGAGAGGAUGAUCAGCCACACUGGAACUGAGACACGGUCCAGACUCCUGCGGGAGGCAGCAGUGGGGAAUAUUGGACAAUGGGCGCAAGCCUGAUCCAGCCAUACCGCGUGGGUGAAGAAGGCCUUCGGGUUGUAAAGACCUUUUGUUGGGAAAGAAAAGCAGCAGGUUAAUACCCCGCUGUUCUGACGGUACCCAAAGAAUAAGCACCGGCUAACUUCGUG